UGCUCCACGUUGUGCUCUUCCCUCUUUUCUCCUGUAUUCUUAUUUUUUUAAUAUAUUUUUAUUUUUUAGAAAUGGGCGCAAAGGCACACAUCACGGGAAGGUUAUAGACAGGUUGGCUGACUCAUCAUCCCAGAAUGGUGCGGCAACAUGGUACCUAUAUGAAAGAUCACAUCUGCAACUCCACUUGGGGGAAGUGGGUUGGCCAGUGUCUGUUCAGAAAUCCUUCGGACAAGGUUGAUCUUCGGCUCGCCUACUUCUUUAGAGAUAUUCAGGCGAUUUAGAAGUACAACAGGGUGGACCUGCUUAUGCCUAAUUUCUCCAAAUGAUGGAUCCCCUGGCCUGAGAUGACCUUAGUCUUUACGGAGCCUGUUUCAUCCUUUAGCUAUGGGUGCAUAAGCAUCUCAGCUUGCUUUGCCCUCCCCUAGCAGAUGUGGAACAUGAUAGUUUUCCUAGAAUAUGGGGAAAGGGAGAGAUUGUCUGUGGCCCUUUAUCUCUUUCUACCACAGGGAGAGAUGUAUUGAACCGGCUCACUGAGCUACUAAUCGGGAUGAGGCUAGGAGGCGCACUGGUCUCCGCAUCUUAUUCUAGGGUCCCAGUGGUGCAACAUGGUACCACGGGUAGAGGGUAGUGAGCCGGUUGGUUGAUUCUAAUGGCCCUACGGUUUCACUUUCCUCCUUCCAUGCAUACCCCUAAGAUCAUUUUUGAGGAGGACUUUCAGGCAGCCUUGACGGGGAUAUCGAGGGACAACUUUACAGACCUUAUGCUUGAUUAGAGAGUUUCUCUAGUGGGAGACAGUAUGUGUGCUUUUGACUACUGAAGGUCCCCAAUAUAAUGGGCCCACUCCCUUCCCUGGCUUCCAUGUUCCUAUGUCUAUGGGUACUUCCAUAGAGGACUAGCCUCAUAUAAGCACUAGACCGGUCCAUAACAUGGCUAAGGGGUCUUCAUCCAUUCCAAGCUUCCCUAGAUGGACGUAUACUGGUGCAAGUGAUCCUUCAACUUAGUGGAUGUUGCCAAGGACAACGAUGGUUGACGAGAGCAUGGGCCUCCCCAUUCCCUUUGAUUGUGUCCAUCCUAUCGUCUAUGCUGAGUGUCACCAGAUGAUCCAAAGGCUCAACACGUGUCUAUAGCACCACAGAGAGUAUAUUUGAAACCAGCCAAGGUUGGUGAGGGGAGUAAAGAAGAGGGAGAAGAGGGGAAGAAGAGGAGAAGGGAGAGGGAAGAAGAUCUACCCUUAGUUUCAGAAGCUGCGACCUACCUUUUCAUCGCCGAAAUAGUGUCCAAUAUCUUGGGAUCUACGUUUUGAGGUUUCGAGAAACUCAUCUUUCCAUACCGAAUAUUACCCAUACCGUGCGCGCAUACUAUUGUACGAAAAUAGUGAUAGUAUAGAAGAUUUAUAGCCAAGCCAAAAGAGCAAAAGUGAGAGUGAUCAACAUCAAUCGUCUUCAGCAUACUAAAUGAAAGGUACAAAUCAUCUAUGUUUUGAUUCAAACAUUUGUUUUAAUUUGAUAUCAUGUUCUAGUCAUCUGUAUGGGAACCGUUUAGGGUCUGAUGUGAAACCCCAAAUAAGAUCUAACAAUUGUUGCAUCAUAAAAUGCAUUUUGUCUAGACAAGGGCAUUAGAUCUAAGCAAGCAGGAGAGUCUCACAAAAAUUAAUGACAAUAGUUUAAGGACAAUACCUUAGGGCUAAUGAUGCACCAAAGAGCUGGUAAUAUUCUAUCUCAUGCUUAUUUCAAACAUCUGAAUAAUCAGAUGAGUUAUCUGAACAUUCAAGAUAAACUCUCUCAAAAUAAAGAAUAAGAUCAGCUGUAUCAAGAUGCCACCCUGACCACUCCGAACGUUUCCACAUAACUAAAGGCAUAUGUUCUCUAUCACACCCGUUGACUUGUCAUAGUUCAGUAAUCACAUUGUUCCACUUCUCUUUAUUACUCAAAUCUUCCAAAAUAACUCGUUAUGCCAAAAUGUAUCAUGAAUUGUAUUGUAGCAUGGGGUUGAUGUAGAAUGAAGUUUCCAUCCAUGUUCCAAAAGGGUUGCAUUGCCCAAUGAGGAAAAUAAUAUACUGGAUUAUAAAAAAGUGACCAUAAUAUUUGAUAAUCCAGGUAAAGUUAGAUGUUCACCCCAAUUUUCAGGGACUAUGAGUAGGGGUUAUAGAUACUUACUUGCAACCCGGGUAGCAAACAAAUUUUAUUUAUUAUUCAUUGGUCAUGAAUCCUAAACCAACUUAAAAUUCCUUCAAAUUGGUUUGCCGCCGACCCAUUUUUGGGUUAACGUCACAUAGAUUGAAGUAGUCCCAAAGUAAUUGUUUAUUGAUGUUCAUGGAUAUGACUUGAUUCACAAAGGUAAAACAAGAAACACAAGGCUUUUUUGGACAAUUGGUUGUAUUUAUUGGCCUCAAAAAUUUUAAGGAAAGGUUUAUCUGGGUGAAUUUAUCCUACUUUUUACUUGGUGGGACAGAAGCCAAAAGGAUGAAAAGCUAGAUUUUUAUUUUAUACCGAUCAUUUCCAACUCCUCUCCUCAAUGUUAUAGGGAAGUUACAUCUAUUGGUCUAAAAAAUUUUCUUUACCAGGAAAGCUCAUCUCUAAGCUAGAAUCCACCUUCUCAAAUUUUCUAUGGUCGGGUCCAUCUCUUGAAAAGAAAAUGCAUCUUAUUUCAUGAGAUGCUAUUUGCAAACCAAACCAAGAAGGAGGCCAGGAAUAAAGUGCAUCAAGAACGUGAAAUGGCCAAAAUUAUGAAGCAAGUGUGGUGGAUAGCUGCAAAAAAAGGUCGUUGUGUCAAAUGGGUGUAACAGGUACUUGAAACAAGAUUCAAUUUGGAUAAUGAAGAUCACUUAGAAAUCUUCAUGGGUGUUAAGGAAAAUUUUGAAGUAUAGGGGUAAGGUUGAGCGUUAUAUUCAGAACUUCAUUGGGGUUGGUAGCUCAGCUUAUCUUUAGUUGGACAAAAGGCAUCCUUUCGGAGUACUAAUUAAUAGAUUUGGAAACAAAAUUUGCAAUGAUGCAGGUUUUGGUCGUCCUGCCAUGGUGAAGUAUAUUAUGAGAGAUGGUGAUCGAUACAUUGGUCUCCUUUCUCCUUUGGAUUUUAUAGAAGCCUAGAGGGAGUUAUCGAACUUAAGGAAACUCUAUCAUGCUGAUAACGAUUUGGUGGUUUGGACAGGUUUGGAUGAGGUGUUGUCCAUCCUUGCCAUGGAGUUGCUUGAAAUUCAAACAGGGAUUUGUAUAUGUGUUGACAAAGGCUUCCUGGAGGUGUCUAUCCGGUCUAAUUCCAUGUUAGCAGUUGAUAAUCUUAAUAGUGAGAUAUGUGGCCCUUGGAGUAUGUAAGUCUUUAAGAGAAGAAAUUUGCAUCUUUGUUCCAUGCUUAGCUGUAAGGAGAUUAUACAUGUUCAGAGAGAGAAAAACCAGCCAGCAGAUUUAUGAGCCUCAUUUGCCACAUCUAUUGUUGAAGUAUCUUGUACCCACCCAAUAUCCCAGAUUAUCUUCAAAACCUUAUAAAAGGGGAUGUUGACCAAGUUACCUACUUUUGGAUAUAAUUUUUUUUCUAUAUUAUUUAUGCUCUAGAUUUUGUUA
Long non-coding RNA from Macadamia integrifolia, 3557 nucleotides. RefSeq lists it as uncharacterized. The record is from RefSeq and is a predicted model, not a curated record. The transcript is spliced from 10 exons. NCBI's taxonomy places the organism in Eukaryota, Viridiplantae, Streptophyta, Magnoliopsida, Proteales, Proteaceae.